RNAcentral lists this ribosomal RNA (775 nucleotides) under uncultured Neocallimastigales. Its description in RNAcentral is "partial large subunit ribosomal RNA". It matches the Rfam family "Eukaryotic large subunit ribosomal RNA", at positions 26 to 647 of the family's 3401-position model. Lineage: Eukaryota; Fungi; Neocallimastigomycota; Neocallimastigomycetes; Neocallimastigales. The record is from RNAcentral.
CGUCUAUAUACGUAUAGCAUAUCAAUAAGCGGAGGAAAAGAAACUAACUAGGAUUCCCUCAGUAACGGCGAGUGAAGCGGGAAGAGCCCAAAUUUGAAAUCUUCAAGGUUCUACCUUGACGAAUUGUAGUUUAAAGAAGUGUUUUCUGUUGGAGUUUUGGUAAAAGUUCUUUGGAAUAGGACAUCAUAGAGGGUGAGAAUCCCGUAUUUGACCAUUAUUUCCAACUUUGUGAUACACUUUCAAAGAGUCGGAUUGUUUGGGAAUGCAGUCCAAAAUGGGUGGUAAAUUUCAUCUAAAGCUAAAUACUGGCGAGAGACCGAUAGCGAACAAGUACCGUGAGGGAAAGAUGAAAAGAACUUUGAAAAGAGAGUUAAACAGUACGUGAAAUUGUCAAAAGGGAAGCGUUUGACACCAGUGUUGUUUUCUCGAAAAUCAAUUAAAAAUGGCUGGAUUUUGUGUUGUAUUGACCUUUAUCAAGCUUUCUUCACUUUUUUCCUAUCUUUUUUAAUGCACUUUUCGUUUAACAAGUCAACAUCAAUUUCUUUUGUUGUAAAAGGGUCAUUGGAAGGUGGCUUUCUUUUCGGAGAAAGUGUUUAUAGCCUUUGACUUCUGCAAUCGGAGAGAUUGAGGUCUGCAGCGUAGAUCCUUCGGGGUUAGAUGCAUUUGUGCUAAGUUAUAGCCUUUCAUAGACAACUUGUUGACUAUGAUCAGUCAUGUAGCUUACUCGCUUAUGUUAUUUUACCUACGCUUAGGAUGUUGACGAUCAGCUGAGCGC